UUGUCUUCUCUCCCCCACACCCUCCCCCCCACCCCGAUUUCCUCUGUGCUUCAGCAAGAAUGUUAUUGAGAAGAAUCUAUUCGAGAAGAAAUAUCAGAUUCCAUGACCCUUUUCUCCUACAUACUUCAGAGUGGCCCAGGAACUUGGACAUUCUCUAACAUAACCGCAGUGAUCAAAAUCAGGAACAUUUAAACAUGGAUUUAAUAUUAUACACUCUCUAUGCAGAAUAUCACUAACUGGUCCAGUAAUAUCCUUUAUAGCAAUCAUUUUUUUUGUUCAGUUUUUUUAAUGUUUAUUCAUUUUUGAGAGACAGAGAGAGACAGAGUGCAAGCAGGGGUAGGGCAGAGACAGAGAAGGAGACACAGAAUCCAAAGCUGGCUUCAGGCUCUGAACUGUCAGCACAAAGCCCAACGUGGGGCUUGAACUCACGAACCGUGAGCUCAUGACCGGAGCCUAGGCCGGACCCUUAACUGAUAGCCACCCAGGUGCUCCAGCAAUCACCUUUUUUAAAGUGUAUUUAUUUAUUUAUUUAUUGGGGGGGAGGGGCAGAGAGAGAGGGCGACAGAGAAUCCAAAGCAGGCACAGUGCAGUGGGGCUCGAUCUCAUGAACUGUGAGAUCAUGAGCUGGGCUGAAAUCAAGAGUUGGCCGCUCAACUGACUGAACCAGCUGGGUGCCCCUCCAGCAAUCACUUUUUAAAUUUCCCAUACGGCAUCAUGCCCUCAAACCAUGGUUCUUUAUGCUUCUUUAAUCGGGACCCAUUCCUCAGCCUUUCUUCAUCUUUCAAGAUACAAAGAGUCCAGGUCCGAUGUUUGAUGGACUCUACCUCAGUUUUGGCUUUUCUGAUGUUUUCUCAUGAUUAGAUUCAGGAAGUUCAGUUUUGGUUUUUUUUUUAAUUUUUGAUGUUUAUUUAUUUUUGAGAGAGACAGAGACAGAAUGCGAGUGGGCUGGGGCAGAGAGAGAGGGAGGCACAGAAUCUGAAACAGGCUCCAGGCUCUGAGCUGUCAGCACAGAGCCUGAUGCGGGUCUCGAACUCAUGAGCUGUGAGAUCAUGACCUGAGCUGAAGUCAGUCGCUCAACUGACUGAGCCACCCAGGCGCCCCAGGAAGUUCAGUUUUGGAUGAAGGACUACCUGACUGAUGAGUGUCCUCAGCGUGCCACCUUAGGAGGCCUUAGGUGCCAGUCUGUCUCAUUAUAGGUGAGAACUAUGAUCAGUUGGUUAAGGUGGCAUGCCACAGGUUUUUCUAUGAAGUUACCAUUUUCUACUUUUGUAAUUAAUGAGGAGUCUUAUUAACUAGGGGGAUAAUUGGAGACUGUAUAGAUAAGCUGGGAACCUUUAUCAAGGAAGGAUCAAGCUGACACUGGAACCAAGUGAUAACAUCACAAAGACGAUGUCUGGAUAGCAGCAGUUUACAGAAGAAAGAGUCUGAGGGGACAUGUUAACAUCAUGAAGAUACAAGAUGAUAUCACGAAGAUACAAGUAGCCAAACCCAGUCUGGGGGACAGACAGGAAGGACUUGUAACAGCUCACAGAAGCGUGUGGACCUUCCAUCUCGAUUCCAACAACACCAACUGCAGAAACACACUUUGAGACAUUCCCGGGGAACUGAACACAGACUGGGUAUUAGAUGAUACUGGCAAAGAGAAAAGCAGCCCCUGACAUCCAGGAGCAGCCCCGGGACCAUCAGCGAGGCCUGUGUGUUCUAUUGAACACGAACGAUGUCACAGAACAGUAACAGCAGACACGGCCACUCUGACCACGGCAUACGAAGACACAACAGGGCUGUUCUGUAGUCAUGUCUGAACACAGAACAUUAUCUAAGCCUCAGAAAUGACUCAGUGUCCCCCCUUUCUGGCCAAAAUGAACAACGCUGCUUCCUUAUCAAUUACAGCUUCACCCCUGGUUUAUUUUCCCUCCUUCUUGGUAAGCUUUACUAAUAAAUUCGAUUGCAAAAUUGC
Molecule: long non-coding RNA, 1957 nt
Organism: Neofelis nebulosa (Clouded leopard)
Lineage: Eukaryota; Metazoa; Chordata; Mammalia; Carnivora; Felidae
Exons: 2
Source: RefSeq, a predicted model, not a curated record